Molecule: ribosomal RNA, 467 nt
Filed under: uncultured bacterium
Lineage: Bacteria
Description: partial 16S ribosomal RNA
Rfam family: Bacterial small subunit ribosomal RNA
Source: RNAcentral
ACGAACGCUUGCGGCGUGCUUAACACAUGCAAGUCGAACGGAAAGGCCCUGCUUUUGUGGGGUGCUCGAGUGGCGAACGGGUGAGUAACACGUGAGUAACCUGCCCUUGACUUUGGGAUAACUUCAGGAAACUGGGGCUAAUACCGGAUAGGAGCUCCUGCUGCAUGGUGGGGGUUGGAAAGAUUCGGCGGUUGGGGAUGGACUCGCGGCUUAUCAGCUUGUUGGUGGGGUAGUGGCUUACCAAGGCUUUGACGGGUAGCCGGCCUGAGAGGGUGACCGGCCACAUUGGGACUGAGAUACGGCCCAGACUCCUACGGGAGGCAGCAGUGGGGAAUAUUGCACAAUGGGCGGAAGCCUGAUGCAGCAACGCCGCGUGCGGGAUGACGGCCUUCGGGUUGUAAACCGCUUUCGCCUGUGACGAAGCGUGAGUGACGGUAAUGGGUAAAGAAGCACCGGCUAACUACGUG